GGCUUCAACAGGCAGGGUUUAUUUUCUUACGCUUGGAGCUCUCCAGGUAGGCAGCUGGAGACACUGGGUUAGCAGCUGCCCAGUGUCCAAUCAGGGCCUGUGACGGCUGCAACUCCAAGAUCAAGGGACCUUUGCCCAGCACUGAAAAAUGGGAGCCCAUUAGGAAGGAGGUGGCUGUUUGGUAGCAACGAACGGUGUCUGCCACGGGGAGGCCAACAAUGGAGGCAGAGCGUUGCCGUUGAAGGGAACAGCCAGGCCACCCCCUAAGACUGGGGGGAAGGGGGUGUGGGUGGAGGCCUCAAGGGCAAACUGGGUCACUGUAAGGGGUUUGGAUUUUCUUCUGAGAAGCCUGCGAAAUUUUGAGCAGGAAUAGAUGCUCAAGCCCAGCCUGAUGUUUUAUUUGUUUAUUUGCAGACAGGGUCUCACUCUGUCCCCGAGGCUGGAGUGCAGUGGUACAAUUAUAGCUCACUACAGCCUCGACCUAGUGGGCUGAAGUGAUUCUCCCACCUCAACCUCCCAAAUUGCUAGGACAAAUGCUACCACGCCUGGCUAAUUAAAACAAAUAUUGUUGGCCAGGUGUGGUGGUUCACACCUGUAAUCCCAGCACUUUGGG
This 613-nucleotide long non-coding RNA is filed under the name Homo sapiens (human). RNAcentral describes it as "HSALNT0279455". The record is from RNAcentral. Lineage: Eukaryota; Metazoa; Chordata; Mammalia; Primates; Hominidae.